UUAAGUUAUUAAGGGCGCACGGUGGAUGCCUUGGCACUAGAAGCCGAUGAAGGACGUUACUAACGACGAUAUGCUUUGGGGAGCUGUAAGUAAGCUUUGAUCCAGAGAUUUCCGAAUGGGGAAACCCAACAUGAGUUAUGUCAUGUUAUCGAUAUGUGAAUACAUAGCAUAUCAGAAGGCACACCCGGAGAACUGAAACAUCUUAGUACCCGGAGGAAGAGAAAGAAAAUUCGAUUCCCUUAGUAGCGGCGAGCGAAACGGGAAGAGCCCAAACCAACAAGCUUGCUUGUUGGGGUUGUAGGACACUCUAUACGGAGUUACAAAGGACGACAUUAGACGAAUCAUCUGGAAAGAUGAAUCAAAGAAGGUAAUAAUCCUGUAGUCGAAAAUGUUGUCUCUCUUGAGUGGAUCCUGAGUACGACGGAGCACGUGAAAUUCCGUCGGAAUCUGGGAGGACCAUCUCCUAAGGCUAAAUACUCUCUAGUGACCGAUAGUGAACCAGUACCGUGAGGGAAAGGUGAAAAGCACCCCGGAAGGGGAGUGAAAUAGAACCUGAAACCGUGUGCUUACAAGUAGUCAGAGCCCGUUAAUGGGUGAUGGCGUGCCUUUUGUAGAAUGAACCGGUGAGUUACGAUUUGAUGCAAGGUUAAGCAGUAAAUGUGGAGCCGUAGCGAAAGCGAGUCUGAAUAGGGCGUUUAGUAUUUGGUCGUAGACCCGAAACCAGGUGAUCUACCCUUGGUCAGGUUGAAGUUCAGGUAACACUGAAUGGAGGACCGAACCGACUUACGUUGAAAAGUGAGCGGAUGAACUGAGGGUAGCGGAGAAAUUCCAAUCGAACCUGGAGAUAGCUGGUUCUCUCCGAAAUAGCUUUAGGGCUAGCCUCAAGUGAUGAUUAUUGGAGGUAGAGCACUGUUUGGACGAGGGGCCCCUCUCGGGUUACCGAAUUCAGACAAACUCCGAAUGCCAAUUAAUUUAACUUGGGAGUCAGAACAUGGGUGAUAAGGUCCGUGUUCGAAAGGGAAACAGCCCAGACCACCAGCUAAGGUCCCAAAAUAUAUGUUAAGUGGAAAAGGAUGUGGCGUUGCCCAGACAACUAGGAUGUUGGCUUAGAAGCAGCCAUCAUUUAAAGAGUGCGUAAUAGCUCACUAGUCGAGUGACACUGCGCCGAAAAUGUACCGGGGCUAAACAUAUUACCGAAGCUGUGGAUUGUCCUUUGGACAAUGGUAGGAGAGCGUUCUAAGGGCGUUGAAGCAUGAUCGUAAGGACAUGUGGAGCGCUUAGAAGUGAGAAUGCCGGUGUGAGUAGCGAAAGACGGGUGAGAAUCCCGUCCACCGAUUGACUAAGGUUUCCAGAGGAAGGCUCGUCCGCUCUGGGUUAGUCGGGUCCUAAGCUGAGGCCGACAGGCGUAGGCGAUGGAUAACAGGUUGAUAUUCCUGUACCACCUAUAAUCGUUUUAAUCGAUGGGGGGACGCAGUAGGAUAGGCGAAGCGUGCGAUUGGAUUGCACGUCUAAGCAGUAAGGCUGAGUAUUAGGCAAAUCCGGUACUCGUUAAGGCUGAGCUGUGAUGGGGAGAAGACAUUGUGUCUUCGAGUCGUUGAUUUCACACUGCCGAGAAAAGCCUCUAGAUAGAAAAUAGGUGCCCGUACCGCAAACCGACACAGGUAGUCAAGAUGAGAAUUCUAAGGUGAGCGAGCGAACUCUCGUUAAGGAACUCGGCAAAAUGACCCCGUAACUUCGGGAGAAGGGGUGCUCUUUAGGGUUAACGCCCAGAAGAGCCGCAGUGAAUAGGCCCAAGCGACUGUUUAUCAAAAACACAGGUCUCUGCUAAACCGUAAGGUGAUGUAUAGGGGCUGACGCCUGCCCGGUGCUGGAAGGUUAAGAGGAGUGGUUAGCUUCUGCGAAGCUACGAAUCGAAGCCCCAGUAAACGGCGGCCGUAACUAUAACGGUCCUAAGGUAGCGAAAUUCCUUGUCGGGUAAGUUCCGACCCGCACGAAAGGCGUAACGAUUUGGGCACUGUCUCAACGAGAGACUCGGUGAAAUCAUAGUACCUGUGAAGAUGCAGGUUACCCGCGACAGGACGGAAAGACCCCGUGGAGCUUUACUGUAGCCUGAUAUUGAAAUUCGGCACAGCUUGUACAGGAUAGGUAGGAGCCUUUGAAACGUGAGCGCUAGCUUACGUGGAGGCGCUGGUGGGAUACUACCCUAGCUGUGUUGGCUUUCUAACCCGCACCACUUAUCGUGGUGGGAGACAGUGUCAGGCGGGCAGUUUGACUGGGGCGGUCGCCUCCUAAAAGGUAACGGAGGCGCUCAAAGGUUCCCUCAGAAUGGUUGGAAAUCAUUCAUAGAGUGUAAAGGCAUAAGGGAGCUUGACUGCGAGACCUACAAGUCGAGCAGGGUCGAAAGACGGACUUAGUGAUCCGGUGGUUCCGCAUGGAAGGGCCAUCGCUCAACGGAUAAAAGCUACCCCGGGGAUAACAGGCUUAUCUCCCCCAAGAGUUCACAUCGACGGGGAGGUUUGGCACCUCGAUGUCGGCUCAUCGCAUCCUGGGGCUGUAGUCGGUCCCAAGGGUUGGGCUGUUCGCCCAUUAAAGCGGUACGCGAGCUGGGUUCAGAACGUCGUGAGACAGUUCGGUCCCUAUCCGUCGUGGGCGUAGGAAAUUUGAGAGGAGCUGUCCUUAGUACGAGAGGACCGGGAUGGACAUACCUCUGGUGUACCAGUUGUCGUGCCAACGGCAUAGCUGGGUAGCUAUGUGUGGACGGGAUAAGUGCUGAAAGCAUCUAAGCAUGAAGCCCCCCUCAAGAUGAGAUUUCCCAACUUCGGUUAUAAGAUCCCUCAAAGAUGAUGAGGUUAAUAGGUUCGAGGUGGAAGCAUGGUGACAUGUGGAGCUGACGAAUACUAAUCGAUCGAAGACUUAAUCAA
This 2921-nucleotide ribosomal RNA is filed under the name Staphylococcus aureus. Its description in RNAcentral is "bacterial LSU rRNA". It matches the Rfam family "Bacterial large subunit ribosomal RNA". The record is from RNAcentral. Lineage: Bacteria; Bacillati; Bacillota; Bacilli; Caryophanales; Staphylococcaceae.